Molecule: ribosomal RNA, 323 nt
Filed under: uncultured bacterium
Lineage: Bacteria
Description: SSU rRNA
Rfam family: Bacterial small subunit ribosomal RNA
Source: RNAcentral
GGAUUAGAAACCCGGGUAGUCCACGCCGUAAACGAUGAGAGCUAGUUGUCAGUGGGCAUGCCCAUUGGUGACGCAGCUAACGCAUUAAGCUCUCCGCCUGGGGAGUACGGCCGCAAGGUUAAAACUCAAAGAAAUUGACGGGGGCCCGCACAAGCGGUGGAGCAUGUGGUUUAAUUCGAAGCGACGCGCAGAACCUUACCCACGCUUGACAUGUCUCGUUUGGUCGCCAGAGAUGGCUUCCUUCAGUUCGGCUGGCGAGAACACAGGUGCUGCAUGGCUGUCGUCAGCUCGUGUCGUGAGAUGUUGGGUUAAGUCCCGCAACG